CUGAAGUACUGUACUGCACAGGCAUUUAUCCGGAUACGACCUUCAAAAAGCUGCCUAAACUAACGUUACAUUUCACAUGUGCUUAAAAUACUUUUAUGAGAUGGUUUGCAACUGUAAAGACAUCUAAACGGAUGAACAGUAACACUCUUGUUUCAACUCAGCAAACAAUUAAGAUGACCUAGUAGUUCGCUUGUGCAAGACAGAUUUGAUAAAUACCUCAUUAUGAAUAAUAACAACUUUCAAGCGCCUGCAAGCUGUGGCGGU
Molecule: non-coding RNA, 264 nt
Organism: Danio rerio (zebrafish)
Lineage: Eukaryota; Metazoa; Chordata; Actinopteri; Cypriniformes; Danionidae
Source: Ensembl